This 85-nucleotide small nucleolar RNA is filed under the name Capronia americana. The record is from RNAcentral. Lineage: Eukaryota; Fungi; Ascomycota; Eurotiomycetes; Chaetothyriales; Herpotrichiellaceae.
CUAUGAUGAACAAUCUAGAUGACGAGUCUUAUUCAGCACGCUGAUGCAGACAAACCUCAAAUUACCAUUCAUGCAUUUCCUGAGU